Molecule: signal recognition particle RNA, 100 nt
Filed under: Paenibacillus sp. 598K
Lineage: Bacteria; Bacillati; Bacillota; Bacilli; Caryophanales; Paenibacillaceae
Description: signal recognition particle sRNA small type
Rfam family: Bacterial small signal recognition particle RNA
About the family: The signal recognition particle (SRP) is a universally conserved ribonucleoprotein involved in the co-translational targeting of proteins to membranes. Archaeal SRP consists of a 7S RNA and homologues of the eukaryotic SRP19 and SRP54 proteins.
Source: RNAcentral
AUCUUGGUCCGCCGCAAUGGAGGCCUGUGAACCCGGUCAGGUCCGGAAGGAAGCAGCCGUAAGCAUGUUUAUCCAUGUGCCGGCGGAGUGCCAGGUCAGA